RNAcentral lists this small RNA (90 nucleotides) under Paraburkholderia sabiae. RNAcentral's name for it is "Bp1_684". It matches the Rfam family "Burkholderia sRNA Bp1_Cand684_SIPHT". Lineage: Bacteria; Pseudomonadati; Pseudomonadota; Betaproteobacteria; Burkholderiales; Burkholderiaceae. The record is from RNAcentral.
AGAAAAGUAGGUGCCGCCCCGCACAGGGGCGACGCUAGCAAACCGAUACGACAACGCGGAUGCCAGCGCAGCCAAAAAACCGAACCACAU